UUAUCAUUUGCUUUAUUAGAGAAUAUCAUGUUAGUAUUAGAAAACCACUAUAAAUACCUACCAUCAUGCAUUUAGGUACUCAACCUUAUCUGCUAGCUACUACAAGCUUCUACUUAUUACAGUUUGAGAGCUUAAUUGUUUCUUCUUGGAACCCAAGAAACCAAGCUGUUGCGUAUUCAGGUCAUUAUCACUGAUAUCACGACUCAUGAUUCAGGCCAUGCAGAGGAGGAGCAUCUCUUGCUUGCGUACUGCAGAGGAAGAUGAUUUUUGCACUACUUUUACAGCAUUUCUUGCUUGCUUACUGCAGAGGAGGAUGAUUUUUGCACUAGUUUUACAUAUAUGCUUGGGCUAUUGAAUAGUAUGAUUUUUGAAGUGAUCGCCAAACUUUGAAGGGAUUGUCUGUUUCUACUUGCCAUGUAUUAGUUGAUUAUUGAAAUUUCAGAUA
Ziziphus jujuba (common jujube) is the source of this 445-nucleotide long non-coding RNA. RefSeq lists it as uncharacterized. NCBI's taxonomy places the organism in Eukaryota, Viridiplantae, Streptophyta, Magnoliopsida, Rosales, Rhamnaceae. The record is from RefSeq and is a predicted model, not a curated record. The transcript has 2 exons.